This 926-nucleotide ribosomal RNA is filed under the name uncultured bacterium. Its description in RNAcentral is "bacterial SSU rRNA". It matches the Rfam family "Bacterial small subunit ribosomal RNA", at positions 33 to 949 of the family's 1533-position model. The record is from RNAcentral.
ACGCUAGCUACAGGCUUAACACAUGCAAGUCGAGGGGAAACGGCAUUAAGUGCUUGCACUUUUUGGACGUCGACCGGCGCACGGGUGAGUAACGCGUAUCCAACCUUCCCAUGACUAAGGAAUAACCUGCCGAAAGGCAGACUAAUACCUUAUGGUCUUCACUGACGGCACCAGAUGUGAAGUAAAGAUUUAUCGGUUAUGGAUGGGGAUGCGUCUGAUUAGCUUGUUGGCGGGGUAACGGCCCACCAAGGCAACGAUCAGUAGGGGUUCUGAGAGGAAGGUCCCCCACAUUGGAACUGAGACACGGUCCAAACUCCUACGGGAGGCAGCAGUGAGGAAUAUUGGUCAAUGGGCGAGAGCCUGAACCAGCCAAGUAGCGUGCAGGAUGACGGCCCUAUGGGUUGUAAACUGCUUUUGUAUGGUGAUAAAGUCAAUCACGUGUGAUUGUUUGCAGGUACCAUACAAAUAAGGACCGGCUAAUUCCGUGCCAGCAGCCGCGGUAAUACGGAAGGUCCGGGCGUUAUCCGGAUUUAUUGGGUUUAAAGGGAGCGUAGGCUGGAGAUUAAGUGUGUUGUGAAAUGUAGACGCUCAACGUCUGACUUGCAGCGCAUACUGGUUUCCUUGAGUACGCACAACGUUGGCGGAAUUCGUCGUGUAGCGGUGAAAUGCUUAGAUAUGACGAAGAACUCCGAUUGCGAAGGCAGCUGACGGGAGCGCAACUGACGCUGAAGCUCGAAGGUGCGGGUAUCGAACAGGAUUAGAUACCCUGGUAGUCCGCACAGUAAACGAUGGAUGCCCGCUGUUGGUACCUGGUAUCAGCGGCUAAGCGAAAGCAUUAAGCAUCCCACCUGGGGAGUACGCCGGCAACGGUGAAACUCAAAGGGAAUUGACGGGGGCCCGCACAAGCGGAGGAACAUGUGGUUUAA